This 7552-nucleotide long non-coding RNA is filed under the name Homo sapiens (human). RNAcentral's name for it is "non-protein coding lnc-ANKRD30BL-7:2". The record is from RNAcentral. Lineage: Eukaryota; Metazoa; Chordata; Mammalia; Primates; Hominidae.
ACUCUCUGCCUGCCUAGGACGCAAGUGCAGGGUGCCAAGCGGAGAGCCUGGAUCAUAUUUCACAUGUGCCGGUCCCAAAGGAAUUCCUUAACUCUCCCUUCCUGGAACCGAAAUGCUUCCAAAGGCAGAGAGCUCCUAUAUAUAUUUCUCUGUUUUCCCCGGAGGACCGUGCAUGAAAGGCGCCUUUUUGGCGCGUGUGUCUCUGACCCUGUGGAUCUUCUGGACAAUUCCCGGAAUUUCUUGCAGGGCAGCACUUCCCCUUAAGUCGUCUCUUUCUCGUUUGGAUAGUCAGUAUUUGUAUAGUCACUAUUCUCUUUUGGUUAGCCGUCUAAUUUUAUACUGCCAGUCAAGCUCUACUCCCUUCCCCCUAGAGUUUGAAUUUAUUUUUUUUCAAACGCUACACAAACCCAAAUAAACUCAACCAAAGCGGACUUUACCUACCUUCCUACCUACCUACCAAGAAAAUAUCCCACAAAGGAGAGAACGGAGAAGCUUGCAAUACAGGAAGAAAAAAAAAGAAUUACAGAAUGGAAGGGAUGUGUGCUCUAAAAAUGCAGGUACUCAAAGGAAAUUGGGCUGAUUUGUACUGGACACCGAAUUUGAGGAAUACAGGAUCUCAACCUUUCUUUGACUGGAUUACUUUUUUAUUCCAUUUUGGUGUGGACGCGUCUGAAACUGAUAGUGCUGCUGCUACCUACCAUAAUGUGUUUGUUGCAAGAUCCACAAGAACGUGGAUGCCAAGAAUCCACAAAAAAAAACAGAUGCAACCGUUGAUGAGGCCAUAAACAGAAACAAAAUCUGAAGAGACAUGCCUGCCCACUCUUCACAGAGGGAUACAUCUUCUAAAUGUGGGGAACACUGUUCUUGAAGGUUCAUGAUAUAAUCCUGACUCACACUUAAAUCCCGGAUCCUUUGUUUCCAAAUCUUCCAGCAAUGAAGCUCUUCUUGAGAAAGCUACCUGGAAAUCUGAAGUUGGAAGAUUGCUUAAUCCUGGGACACAGAGGCUGCAGUGAUCCAAGAUUGUGUCACUGCAUUCCAGCCUGGGUGACAGAGCAAGACAUUUCCACCCCCACACAGCAAAAAAGAAUAAAAGGAAAUCUUAGGAAAAAUUUAUGAAGGAAGAAAUUCACCUCCCCCUUAUAAGAGUGGUCAAUAAAAAGACUUUAAUAAUCUUGCUACAAAAGGUAUGGGAAAGACUCCCAUUUUACGUAGUAUAUGUGUGUAUAGAAAUAAUACAUAUUGAUGGAGUGUUUUUUAUAUGUUGGGCAGAGUAAGGGACACAAGGGUCACAAGAGGUUUCAGAAACAAGCAAGUCCUAUCUCCUGAUGGCUUCCCUUCCUUCACAUCACUGUCAUAUGGAGGACUAUCAUGUAUGUUUGUGUACAACCUGCACAACUGUACAUGGUGAGCCUUAAGGGGAUGGGGAUAAAAAGGCAAUGGGGAUUGAAAUAGGGAUAAACAUUGUGAAACUUGGUCCUGGCGUUGUGCGGGGAUGCAUAUGUAAACCUCUGAGACAAGCUUUAAGAGACAUCCUUUUUAUUUUCCCCAAGAUUCUUUGUCUUCAUGAAAAGAUAGAGACCACUCAGAUACUAUAAUCCAUUUCCUUAAGUUCUGACCUUUUAAGUUAUUGCAGAAUCUCAAACAGCCAUGAAUGAGAAUGGGGAACAGAUACUGUGGCACUGUCAAUGGCCUGGCACCCAGGGAAGCAAGACUGUGGUAUAUAACAAACAGGGGGCUGAGGCAGAAGAGGAUGAUCAUAUUUUUGGGACCCUAAGAUGGGUUUCAAAAUGGCAUGAAUAUCAUGGUCAAGUCCCACUGGAUACUGCUUCUGGUUCAAGGUCCUUUCUGGGUUGUUUUAUUGAAAGUGACUUUAGUUUAUAAGAUAGUAUCAGGGAAAGGGAGACCAUGAGCUGCCCCAGAUGGGUUUUAAGCAGUGGUUUCCCAAUUGUUUUGAUUGUAACCCACAAUAAAAUCAGCAUUGUGACUCAGUAGGAAUAGGCACGGACAUCAACACAGACUGCUCACUAAAACAGAAGUUUUAUCAGCUGAUACUUACAUACGAUGUGCAAUGCAUUUUGAUAAAUUCUUCUGUUUUCUGCUCUAUUAAUCUAUUUUGCUUUUUAAAAAUUGCUAGUUAUGACACAGUAAUUUGAUUUCAGGACUCACCAAGAGGGUUUUAUCCUGCAGUUUGAGAAACAACUGCAGGGAUAUGCAGAUUUAUGUAGAAGGUCCUGUGUCUACAGAUUACACUUUGGUUUAACGAGGUUAUUUAUUAAAAGCACAGGACCUAGGGCCAGAUUAGGAAGGCUCAAAUCCUAGUUCUUCUUAUAAGCUGUGUAAUCAUGGGCAAGUUAUUAAUUCUGUGACUCAGUUGUUUCAUCCAUUGGUAUGGUUUGGCUGUGUCCCCACCCAAAUCUCUUCUUGAAUUGUAACUCCCAUAAUUCCCAAGUGUCAUGUCCCAUAAUUCCCACAUGUCACAGCCCCCACACAGAGUCCCUAGCAGGGCACUACCUAGUGGAGCUGUGAGAAGAGGGCCACUGUCCUUCAGACAGCAGAAUGCUAGAUCCGACAGCUUGCACCGUGUGCCUGGAAAAGCCACAAACACUCAACACCAGCCCACAAAAGCAGCCGGAAGGGAGACUAUACUCUGCAGAGCCACAGGGGUGGAGCUGCCCAAGACCAUGGAAACUCAUCUCUUACAUCAGCGUGACCAGGAUGCAAGACAUGGAGUCAAAGGAGAUCACUUUCGAGCUUUAAGAUUUGACUGCCCCGUUGGAUUUCAGACUUGCAUGGGGCCUGUAGCCCCUUUGUUUUGGCCAAUUUCUCCCAUUUGGAACAGCAGCAUUUACACAAUGCCUGUACCUGCACUGUAUCUAGGAAGUAAAUAAAUUGUUUUUUUAUUUUACAGGCUCAUAGAUGGAAGAUACUUGGCUUGUCUCAGAUGAGACACUGGACUGUGGACUUUUGAGUUAAUGCUGAAAUGAGUUAAGACUUUGUGGGACUGUUGGGAGGCAUGAUUGGUUUUGAAAUGUAAGGACAUAAGACUUGGGAGGGGCCGGGGUGGGAUAAUAUGGUUUGGCUGUGUCCCCACCCAAAUCUCAUCUUGAAUUGUAACUCCCACAAUUCCCAUGUGUCAUGGGAGGAACCCUGUAGGAGGCGAUUGAAUUAUGGGGCGGGUCUUUCCUGUGUUGUUCUCAUGAUAGUGAAUGAGUCUCAUGAGAUCUGAUAGUUUUUAAAAGGGAGAUUCUGAAUGGGUACAGUGGCUCACACCUGUAAUCCCAGCACUUUGGGAGGCCAAAGUGGGUUGAUCACGAGGUCAAGAGAUUGAGACAAUCCUGGCCAACAUGGUGAAACCCUGUCUGUACUAAAAAAUACAAAAAUUUGCUGGGCAUGGUGGUGCAUGCCUGUAGUCCCAGAUACUGGGUUGGCUAAGGCAGGAGAAUUGCCUGAACUUGGUAGUUGGAGGUUGCAGUGAGCCAAGAUAGCACCACUGUACUUUAGCCUGGCUACAGAGCCAGACUCUUAAAAAAAAAAAAAAAGGUGGGGGGGUUUCCUGCACAAGCUCUCUUCUCUUGUCUGCCACCAUGUAAGACGUGCCUUUCACCUUCCACCAUGACUAUGAGGCCUCCCCAGGGAUGUGGAACUGUAAGUCCAAUACAUCUCUAUCUUUUGUAAAUUGCCCAGUCUCAGGUAUGUCUUUAUCAGCAGUGUGAAAACAGAGUAAUACGUCCAUAAAAGGGGGAUAAUAACAAUAACUAUCUGUAUUAGUCCAUUCUCAUGUUUCUAAUAAAGACAUACCCAAGACUGGGUAAUUUAUAAAGGAAAGAGGUUUAAUUGACUCAUAUUUCCAUAUGGCUGUGGAGGCCUCAAAAUCAUGGCAGAAGGUGAAGGAAGAGCAAAGGUACAUCCUACAUGGUGUCAGUCAAAGAGAAAGCCUGUGCAGGAGAACACCAAUUUAUAAAACCAUCAAAUCUCAUGAGACUUGUCACUCUCAUAAGAACAGCAUGAGAAAGACCCCUGCCCCAUGAUUCAGUUACCUCCUACCGGGCCCCACCUACAACAUGUGGGAAUUAUGGAAACUACAAUUCAAGAUGAGACUUGGGUAGGGAUAUAGCCAAACCAUAUCUCUAUCUCAUAAACCUAGGUAGCACAUAACUGUAUAUGAACCUCUGAGAAAUGAAAAUGAGGUUAGAUAUUUAUCAAAAAGUAAUCAAAUAAGCCAACACUUAGAUUACACUUACUACAUACCAGUAAGUGUUGGCUAUUGUAACUGCCAACCAAAUCAAAGUUCUCCCUUUGUUCCUUUAACACUGAUUUAUCCAAAACAUUGGAUAAACAUUGAUUUUUCUCCAGAAGCAUCCAAUAGAUCAGGGCUCUUGGUGAUGUGUGAAUUUUAUGUCUCAUUCUGAGAAAUAUGAGGAAAGAAUGAGAGCCUAAAUGUGUGAUUAGGGGAGGGAGGGAUUACUGCCUGCAUUGAAUGCCCACAGGCCAGGGGUAUGAGAUUUGGGGAGAGCUCCCUCACAAAUCCAUCACAAGGGGCCAGAUCCUCACAUUGAUCUGUAAAAGCUCAUUAACUGCAGGGUUCUAACCUGCACAUGCAUCUCUUGGGUGUUUUCUUUCCAGUGGUCAAAGUUUAUCUUUGUGAUCUAACUGGAGUUUUCUAUGUGGUUUGAAAUGAUGAUUUCAGGACACAGGUCCAGUGGUCUGAUGCUCAGUUACUCACCCACUGAGAUGAAGUUCCUGAAGUUUUCCAGCAUCACGUCUUGGUACAGGUUUAUCUGGGCUUUAUCCAAUACUGCCAGCUCUUCCUUGGUGAAGAUAACAGCUAUGUCCUUGAAUGUCACCCUUUCCUAAAACAUCAACCACAUGCCACGUCAAUCAUCCACACAAAUGACUGGUCUUAGUCUGUUUGGGCUGCCUUAAUAAAAUACCACAGUCUGAUUAGGUUAAACAAAAUAAACUAACUUCUUACUUUUCUGGAGGUUGGAAAGUCUAAGAUCAAGUACCACCAAGAUAGGUUUCAUUCAGGUUUCUUCUCUUGGCUUGUAGACAGCUGUCCUCUCACUGUGUCCUUACAUGGCAGAGGGAGAAUGAGAGCAAGCUCUGUUGAGGCUGUCUCAUAAGGACAUUAAUCCUAUUGGAUCAGGGAUUCCCAAAGGACAAUAUUAAUCAAAUUAUAAAAUAUGGCCCAGGAAAUAGGCACAGAUAAAUCUAUACUAAGGUGUUGUGCUGAUACACAAGUCUAGUACUGUUCCAUGAGUUCAUUUCUCAUCACACACCAAGAUUUGGUAUUUUCACUUUUUCAUGGCAGAUUAAUCUAUUUGUAUCAUGUUAAAAGGAACUAAGAAGACAGGGUAACAAAAGCCUGACUCCCAGAUUCAAAAAACACAGUAGAGAAAAGGGAGAUUAUUAUCAUAAUUAAGAACACUUGGAUAUCAACUAGGUAUUAAAAAAUAGUGGUAUCAACGUGAAAUUUCUUGAGUAUGUUAGCAGUAACGUGGAAAUGUAGGAAAAUGCUCUUACUCUUAGGAGAUACAAGCUGAAAUAUUUAGGGAUGAAUUAUAAUCAUGCCUGCAAUAUAUCCCCAACUGGGUCAUCAAAAUAAAAUAUAGAUAUGUGUGUGUAUAUAUGUAUAUUAUGCAUAUGUUUAUGGGUGAUUGUUAACAAUUGGUGAAUCUAUGUGAAGAUUACACAUUAUGCUAUUCUUUCAUUUUCCUGAUAAAUUGAAAUUUCUCAAAAUAAAAUGAUGUGGGGAUUAAUCUCAUAUUAAUAACCAUCUCCUAAUCAAGAAAACAAUUUUUACAUAAAAUAUUUCUAUUGCUGCAUAUAUCACACUGCUCAGAGUUAAGUAUUUACAGAUAUGUUCUCUCAAUAGACUCUGCAUCUCUAAAUAAUGCAGAGCUUUCAAAUGAAAGUUGUAAGCAGUUACAAAGGACUUCACAAAGAAUAUGUUCCUAACAAUUGUCCAAUUACCAAAAUCUGACAAUGAUUAAAAACAAAAUCUAGGGGAGUCAGCACGGUUGUCCUAAUAGCAUCACUCUCUCAGUAACACUACUGUAUGCCUUCUUCUGUGGGAGGCAACAAAAUUGAAUUGGAGUUAAUCAUUCAGGAAAUACAGAUACCCUGAAGUCUGCUUGGGGUGUUCCAAUGUAGGGAGAAGGGGUUAGGAAUAGAGGUUCACCCAGCCUACACCCCAUUCUCCCUUCUCUGCCUCAACUAUAGAGCCUGGGAAAACAAAACACUCAUUUCUCCACCACCCUUGUAGCUGGAUGGAUGCCUUGUAGGAAUCCUAGGCAGCGAUUGUCAUAGGAUGCAGAUACAAGGACAGCCCCAAAAUAUUAAGAAACCAAAUUUUUCAACGAAUAAACACUUGCAAAAACCUAUAAAUAUUUUCCUCUCUGAAGUAUUCUUGUAUAACCAUCUAUGAAGUAUUCUUGUAAAACCUUGAACCUGAAUCUAUUCAAGCAUCUGGUGCUUCCACUUACAAGAAAUACUAUGGAUAGAGUAACACAUUGAAAGACACCAAAAGGAAGCAAACAAAUGCAUUCCAAAUGUAGGAAAGAACACAGGACACCAAACUUGGUUUCUACAAGUCAAUAGCAGGAGAGAAUAAAGUAGAGGGGCAGAUUUCUCUAGAUUAAAAGAGAUUAUGAGACACAACCACCAACUAUAUGAUAGUAUAGACCUUUGGUAAGAUCCCAUUUGAACAAACCAACUGUCAAAAAUUUUUUGAGAUAAUCAGGGAAACUUGGUUAUUGUCUGGGUAUUAGAUAAUACCAAAUAAUUAUUGAUUAUCUCAUUAGUCAGUUUUUAAGGAAAUAUAUACUGAAAUACAUAGAGAAUGUAGUAAAUUAGAUUGCUGUUUAGAAAUAUCCUCUUCCAUGCUCACCAAUCCCACUAAAGGACCAGAGUGUGUUUUCUUACCCCUUUAGUUUUGACUUGGCAAUGUAACUUUCUCUGGCUACCAAAAUGAAGCAGAAGUGAGAAUGUGCCAUUUCUAACCUGGGCCUUGACAGAUCUCACGUGUUCACUUGCUCUCUUGUCCCUCUGUCUUCACUAUGAGGACACACCCAAGCUAACCAAAACCAGCAGAGUGCUACCAAAUACUCAUGGUAUUGGCUUUAGGUCCAGGCCAUAACAAUUGAGGACACUGUUAUAGGAGGCUGGAAAAAUGGUGACCUGGGUGAUGUAGUGGUGAACACUUGGUAAAUUGUUGCUGUAAUUUGGAAGAUAGAAAAUGUACCUAAUGAAUCUUGGACUUGGGCAAGAUGGUUUCCAGGCAGAAGGAUAAAAGUGUGAGCUCAUUCAUUUUAGCUGCAUAUAUAAUAAGGUACUAUACAAAAGUGAUGUGCUCAGAGAAAAACCAAUACAGUGUAAAUACCAUGCCUCUUUCAAAUACUCUGGGAAAGAAAAAACUGAAAAAGAGAGUAAGCAAAUCCCUUCGGCAAUAAGUUAAUUGUUGAAACUGCAUGAUGGGUACUGCAAAUGGAGCCUCAUAAUACCAUUUGUUCUUUUUGUGUAUUUUCAUAAUUAAUUUUUUUCAUGAUUAAAA